Molecule: ribosomal RNA, 1552 nt
Filed under: Klebsiella pneumoniae
Lineage: Bacteria; Pseudomonadati; Pseudomonadota; Gammaproteobacteria; Enterobacterales; Enterobacteriaceae
Description: bacterial SSU rRNA
Rfam family: Bacterial small subunit ribosomal RNA
Source: RNAcentral
AAAUUGAAGAGUUUGAUCAUGGCUCAGAUUGAACGCUGGCGGCAGGCCUAACACAUGCAAGUCGAGCGGUAGCACAGAGAGCUUGCUCUCGGGUGACGAGCGGCGGACGGGUGAGUAAUGUCUGGGAAACUGCCUGAUGGAGGGGGAUAACUACUGGAAACGGUAGCUAAUACCGCAUAACGUCGCAAGACCAAAGUGGGGGACCUUCGGGCCUCAUGCCAUCAGAUGUGCCCAGAUGGGAUUAGCUAGUAGGUGGGGUAACGGCUCACCUAGGCGACGAUCCCUAGCUGGUCUGAGAGGAUGACCAGCCACACUGGAACUGAGACACGGUCCAGACUCCUACGGGAGGCAGCAGUGGGGAAUAUUGCACAAUGGGCGCAAGCCUGAUGCAGCCAUGCCGCGUGUGUGUGAAGAAGGCCUUCGGGUUGUAAAGCACUUUCAGCGGGGAGGAAGGCGGUGAGGUUAAUAACCUCAUCGAUUGACGUUACCCGCAGAAGAAGCACCGGCUAACUCCGUGCCAGCAGCCGCGGUAAUACGGAGGGUGCAAGCGUUAAUCGGAAUUACUGGGCGUAAAGCGCACGCAGGCGGUCUGUCAAGUCGGAUGUGAAAUCCCCGGGCUCAACCUGGGAACUGCAUUCGAAACUGGCAGGCUAGAGUCUUGUAGAGGGGGGUAGAAUUCCAGGUGUAGCGGUGAAAUGCGUAGAGAUCUGGAGGAAUACCGGUGGCGAAGGCGGCCCCCUGGACAAAGACUGACGCUCAGGUGCGAAAGCGUGGGGAGCAAACAGGAUUAGAUACCCUGGUAGUCCACGCCGUAAACGAUGUCGAUUUGGAGGUUGUGCCCUUGAGGCGUGGCUUCCGGAGCUAACGCGUUAAAUCGACCGCCUGGGGAGUACGGCCGCAAGGUUAAAACUCAAAUGAAUUGACGGGGGCCCGCACAAGCGGUGGAGCAUGUGGUUUAAUUCGAUGCAACGCGAAGAACCUUACCUGGUCUUGACAUCCACAGAACUUUCCAGAGAUGGAUUGGUGCCUUCGGGAACUGUGAGACAGGUGCUGCAUGGCUGUCGUCAGCUCGUGUUGUGAAAUGUUGGGUUAAGUCCCGCAACGAGCGCAACCCUUAUCCUUUGUUGCCAGCGGUCCGGCCGGGAACUCAAAGGAGACUGCCAGUGAUAAACUGGAGGAAGGUGGGGAUGACGUCAAGUCAUCAUGGCCCUUACGACCAGGGCUACACACGUGCUACAAUGGCAUAUACAAAGAGAAGCGACCUCGCGAGAGCAAGCGGACCUCAUAAAGUAUGUCGUAGUCCGGAUUGGAGUCUGCAACUCGACUCCAUGAAGUCGGAAUCGCUAGUAAUCGUAGAUCAGAAUGCUACGGUGAAUACGUUCCCGGGCCUUGUACACACCGCCCGUCACACCAUGGGAGUGGGUUGCAAAAGAAGUAGGUAGCUUAACCUUCGGGAGGGCGCUUACCACUUUGUGAUUCAUGACUGGGGUGAAGUCGUAACAAGGUAACCGUAGGGGAACCUGCGGUUGGAUCACCUCCUUACCUUAAAGAA